ACGCUCGACACCUACGGGGGGCAGCAGUGGGGAAUAUUGCACAAUGGGGGAAACCCUGAUGCAGCGACGCCGCGUGAAGGAAGAAGUAUCUCGGUAUGUAAACUUCUAUCAGCAGGGAAGAAAAUGACGGUACCUGACUAAGAAGCCCCGGCUAACUACGUCNCNGNCGCGAGUAUCNGNGGCGNGNGAGAG
This 192-nucleotide ribosomal RNA is filed under the name uncultured bacterium. RNAcentral describes it as "partial 16S ribosomal RNA". It matches the Rfam family "Bacterial small subunit ribosomal RNA", at positions 328 to 540 of the family's 1533-position model. The record is from RNAcentral.